Molecule: ribosomal RNA, 838 nt
Filed under: uncultured bacterium
Lineage: Bacteria
Description: bacterial SSU rRNA
Rfam family: Bacterial small subunit ribosomal RNA
Source: RNAcentral
GGNUAUGGCUCAACCAUAGUGUGCUCUGGAAACUNUCUGACUUGAGUGCAGAAGGGGAGAGUGGAAUUCCAUGUGUAGCGGUGAAAUGCGUAGAUAUAUGGAGGAACACCAGUGGCGAAAAGCGGCUCUNUGGUCUGUCACUGACGCUGAGGCUCGAAAGCGUGGGUAGCGAACAGGAUUAGAUACCCUGGUAGUCCACGCCGUAAACGAUGAGUGCUAGGUGUUAGGCCCUUUCCGGGGCUUAGUGCCGGAGCUAACGCAAUAAGCACUCCGCCUGGGGAGUACGACCGCAAGGUUGAAACUCAAAGGAAUUGACGGGGGCCCGCACAAGCGGUGGAGCAUGUGGUUUAAUUCGAAGCAACGCGAAGAACCUUACCAGGUCUUGACAUCCCGAUGCUAUUCUUAGAGAUAGGAAGUUACUUCGGUACAUCGGAGACAGGUGGUGCAUGGUUGUCGUCAGCUCGUGUCGUGAGAUGUUGGGUUAAGUCCCGCAACGAGCGCAACCCUUAUUGUUAGUUGCCAUCAUUAAGUUGGGCACUCUAGCGAGACUGCCGGUAAUAAACCGGAGGAAGGUGGGGAUGACGUCAAAUCAUCAUGCCCCUUAUGACCUGGGCUACACACGUGCUACAAUGGUCGGUACAACGAGUUGCGAGCCGGUGACGGCAAGCUAAUCUCUGAAAGCCGAUCUCAGUUCGGAUUGGAGGCUGCAACUCGCCUCCAUGAAGUCGGAAUCGCUAGUAAUCGCGGAUCAGCACGCCGCGGUGAAUACGUUCCCGGGCCUUGUACACACCGCCCGUCACACACGAGAGUUUGUAACACCCGAAGUCGGUGAGGUANC